AAAGGCAUAAAUAGCUUGUCUUGUCACACAGAGUUGGCUGAAGAUGCCCUACAUAGCAGAAGGCAGGCCCGGGGAGGGAGCUUUCCAGCACCAGGAAAGACGAACAUGUCAGGAGCCAGCAGCCACGGCACAAGACCCAGCUGGGUCCCAGCUGGUUUGCGGGCUGAGGCAAAUGGUGAAAGGACCUGAAGAAGCAGCAAGACUGCCAGAGAAAACACCAGAAGUGUGCCGAGAGCGUGAUGAAGCACAGGAGAAAAGAGCACAGUCAGUGAUGAGUAAGGUUCCUGUUGACACGGAGCCUUUAUUCUGGCCGUUCCUGCCUCCUGUCCCCUGAUUGCAGGAGCACGCACCACACCUCCUCAGGUACGCGGCAGAAACAUCCGGGAACCCAGCCUCUCGCUCCGCCUACAUCCCCAGCACUGGGCCCAGCGCCUGGCGCCAAGAUGGCCCUCAGUCUGGUGUUGAACGUCACGGAGCGGCUUGUUAACUGCACUGGGAACAGAGACUCGCUCCAAGAAGGGUACCUCUGUUACAGUUUCUCUAAAAGGUAGCUCUGUCCACCUCUGCCUUGAGUGGGCAGAGGGCAAAUGUGAGAUGGUAAGAGGAAAGCAAACAACGGCUUUCCAUCUCUUCCCCCCGGCAGUGGGAGACACCUGGGAUUUGAAUUCAGCAGACUUUCCACUUACUAACUGCGUGAUCUUGGGCCGUUUACUUAAGACACCGGAGCCUCACUCGUUUAUUUUCCCCCUAAAAUGUCAGAUUUUCCUUUGCUGCCUCACAAUCAAAGAUAUUGUGACCGUUCAUGAAAUGAAGUCUAUGGAAAUGCUCUAUAAAGAUGUAUAUGAAUCAUAGCCUGUUAUUUGUCAUAAAAUGGUUUCACUUGUGGAUUCAGUGUUGUGGUUCAAAUGGUUAGGCGCCUACUCGGUGCUCAGCUAACGGUCCUCGGUCUUGUGUUAUGGUGUAAAGACGUACAGACUCUAGAUGUGGGAGGAGCCUGUGAAGAACCAUUCACAGAUGGGCGCUCGGCCUGGGAUGUCUCAGCCCCUUUCCUUUCAUCCUGUAGAGUCUAGAGCUAUCAUUCUCAUUUCGCCCGUGUGCCC
This 1100-nucleotide long non-coding RNA is filed under the name Dasypus novemcinctus (nine-banded armadillo). Its description in RNAcentral is "lncRNA (ENSDNOG00000051887.1)". Lineage: Eukaryota; Metazoa; Chordata; Mammalia; Cingulata; Dasypodidae. The record is from RNAcentral.